GGGGUCGACUUGGAUUUGACAGCGAGUCUAAUUGAGUUGUAAGCACGUAGAGCGCUGGGAUAUAGCUCUUAAAUCUCAUAUUUCACACUUUUUAAACGGCGAGAAUAACUACGCCUUGGCUGCAUAAUCUGAAUUAUAGUAGGAUUAUCUUAGUCCCUACAAGGUAGGGAGCCGAGAUGUCUCGUGGAAGCCUUGAUUUACGGCGGCCACACCCGAGACACCGAAAAAGUAAAUAUAGGAAGCGCAGGGCCUUGAUGUUCUUCUGAAAUCUAAUUGAGGAUAAGUGUAAGAUUGGUGGUUUUCGGCCGGUCUUACAUCGAAAACCAAGCGAAAAAUAAACGUGUAGAAAGCUUCUGAAUUACUUGUUUGGACGAGGGUUCGAAACCCUCCGACUCCACAU
RNAcentral lists this transfer-messenger RNA (400 nucleotides) under Flavobacteriaceae. Its description in RNAcentral is "Gillisia arctica Standard tmRNA". It matches the Rfam family "transfer-messenger RNA". From Rfam's summary of the family: Bacterial tmRNA, also known as 10Sa RNA or SsrA, is named for its dual tRNA and mRNA-like properties. Its role is to liberate the mRNA from a stalled ribosome. To accomplish this part of the tmRNA is used as a reading frame that ends in a translation stop signal. RNAcentral also lists the same sequence under 1 other name. Lineage: Bacteria; Pseudomonadati; Bacteroidota; Flavobacteriia; Flavobacteriales. The record is from RNAcentral.